This 253-nucleotide ribosomal RNA is filed under the name uncultured bacterium. Its description in RNAcentral is "partial 16S ribosomal RNA". It matches the Rfam family "Bacterial small subunit ribosomal RNA", at positions 524 to 776 of the family's 1533-position model. The record is from RNAcentral.
UACGGAGGGUGCAAGCGUUAAUCGGAAUUACUGGGCGUAAAGCGCGCGUAGGCGGCUCGGUCAGUCGGGUGUGAAAUCCCCAGGCUCAACCUGGGAACUGCGUCUGAUACUGGUUGGCUUGAAUCCGGGAGAGGGAUGCAGAAUUCCAGGUGUAGCGGUGAAAUGCGUAGAUAUCUGGAGGAAUACCGGUGGCGAAGGCGGCAUCCUGGACCGGCAUUGACGCUGAGGAGCGAAAGCUAGGGGAGCAAACGGG